GGGGUUGUGGCUCAGUGGUAGAGCACUCACCUAGCACAUGUGAGAGCCUGGGUUUGAUCCUCAGCACUACA
RNAcentral lists this transfer RNA (71 nucleotides) under Marmota monax (woodchuck). RNAcentral's name for it is "tRNA.Ala". The stretch from base 6 to 66 matches the Rfam family "tRNA", at positions 6 to 65 of the family's 71-position model. From Rfam's summary of the family: Transfer RNA (tRNA) molecules are approximately 80 nucleotides in length. Their secondary structure includes four short double-helical elements and three loops (D, anti-codon, and T loops). Further hydrogen bonds mediate the characteristic L-shaped molecular structure. tRNAs have two regions of fundamental functional importance: the anti-codon, which is responsible for specific mRNA codon recognition, and the 3' end, to which the tRNAs corresponding amino acid is attached (by aminoacyl-tRNA synthetases). tRNAs cope with the degeneracy of the genetic code in two manners: having more than one tRNA (with a specific anti-codon) for a particular amino acid; and 'wobble' base-pairing, i.e. permitting non-standard base-pairing at the 3rd anti-codon position. Lineage: Eukaryota; Metazoa; Chordata; Mammalia; Rodentia; Sciuridae. The record is from RNAcentral.